This 76-nucleotide transfer RNA is filed under the name Lysinibacillus xylanilyticus. RNAcentral describes it as "tRNA-His". It matches the Rfam family "tRNA". From Rfam's summary of the family: Transfer RNA (tRNA) molecules are approximately 80 nucleotides in length. Their secondary structure includes four short double-helical elements and three loops (D, anti-codon, and T loops). Lineage: Bacteria; Bacillati; Bacillota; Bacilli; Caryophanales; Bacillaceae. RNAcentral also lists the same sequence under 6 other names. The record is from RNAcentral.
GCGAUUGUGGCGAAGUGGUUAACGCACCGGAUUGUGGUUCCGGCAUUCGAGGGUUCGAUUCCCUUCAGUCGCCCCA